RNAcentral lists this long non-coding RNA (1077 nucleotides) under Homo sapiens (human). Its description in RNAcentral is "non-protein coding lnc-SPATA32-2:17". The record is from RNAcentral. Lineage: Eukaryota; Metazoa; Chordata; Mammalia; Primates; Hominidae.
GGAGAGUUAACAUCUAAUCUGGAGGAAGACCCUGGAAGGAGCCAGCCCCUUCCCCCAGGCUGACCUGGUUUAAGCCUUUCUUCUGCCAAGGUCACCAGCACCCCAGAUGGGUGAGAGAUGUGAUCACUGGUUUCGUGGCCUGACCAAGGACCUCCAAGGAGGUAUCUUUCCCAUCUUGGCCCACAGAGGAGGAAAUCCUAGAAGGGAUGACUGAAGCUUGGGACUAACACAUUGGUGGAUCUGUGCUACCCCCUGCUGGCCGUAGACGGUAUGACAGCCAAGAUAGGGCAAGGCUUCGAGGGGCGAUGGAUGGAUUCACCGCAGCGGCGACAUUUCUGGACUGUUGUCACCUUCAGUGCAGUCACUGGGAAUAUUCAGAACCCAGGUGAUUGAUAAGGUUUUCCCAGGGAUCUCUUCUCUCCCCUUCACCAUUACUCAGUAGGAGCUUCCUUAAAAACGGAAAACGAGAGGCCGGGCGCGGUGGCUCACGCCUGUAAUCCCAGCACUUUGGGAGGCGGAGGCGGGCGGAUCACGAGGUCAGGAGAUCGAGACCAUCCUGGCUAACACAACCCCGUCUCUACUUAAAAUACAAAAAAUUAGCCGGGCGUGGUGGCACGCGCCUGUAGUUCCAGCUACUCAGGAGGCUGAGGCAGGAGAAUCGCUUGAACCCGGGAGGCAGAGGAGGUUGCAGUGAGCUGAGAUGGCGCCACUGCACUCCAGCCUGGCCGACUGAGACUCCAUCUCAAAAAAAAAAAAAAAAAAAGGAAAAAGGGGCCGGGCGCGGUGGCUCACGUCUAUAAUCCUAGCACUUUGGGAGACCAAGGCGGGCAGAUCACGAGGUCAGGAAUUUGAGACUAGUGUGGCCAACAUGGUGAAACCCCAUCUCUACUAAAAAUACAAAAAAUUAGCCGGGUGUGGUGGCGCAUGCCUGUAAUCCUAGCUACUCGGGAGGCCGAGGCAGGAGAAUCGCUUGAACCCAGGAGGCCGAGGUUGCAGUGAGCCGAGAUCACGCCAUUGCACUCCAGCCUGGGCGACAGAGCAAGACUCCGUCUUGAGGGAAAAAAAAAAAAAAAAGAA